CCUACGGGUGGCAGCAGUAGGGAAUAUUGCUCAAUGGGGGAAACCCUGAAGCAGCAACGCCGCGUGGAGGAUGAAGGUUUUCGGAUUGUAAACUCCUUUUUUUAGAGAAGAUAAUUACGGUAUCUAACGAAUAAGCACCGGCUAACUCCGUGCCAGCAGCCGCGGUAAUACGGAGGGAGCAAGCGUUAUUCGGAAUCACUGGGCGUAAAGAGCGCGUAGGCGGGAUAGCAAGUCAGAUGUGAAAUCCUAUGGCUUAACCAUAGAACUGCAUUUGAAACUGUUAUUCUAGAGUAUGGGAGAGGUAGGUGGAAUUCUUGGUGUAGGGGUAAAAUGCGUAGAGAUCAAGAGGAAUACUCAUUGCGAAGGCGACCUGCUAGAACAUAACUGACGCUGAUGCGCGAAAGCGUGGGGAGCAAACAGGAUUAGAUACCCUGGUAGUC
This 440-nucleotide ribosomal RNA is filed under the name uncultured bacterium. RNAcentral describes it as "partial 16S ribosomal RNA". It matches the Rfam family "Bacterial small subunit ribosomal RNA", at positions 338 to 795 of the family's 1533-position model. The record is from RNAcentral.